This 873-nucleotide ribosomal RNA is filed under the name uncultured Streptococcus sp. RNAcentral's name for it is "bacterial SSU rRNA". It matches the Rfam family "Bacterial small subunit ribosomal RNA", at positions 31 to 885 of the family's 1533-position model. The record is from RNAcentral. Lineage: Bacteria; Bacillati; Bacillota; Bacilli; Lactobacillales; Streptococcaceae.
GAACGCUGGCGGCGUGCCUAAUACAUGCAAGUAGAACGCUGAAGAGAGGAGCUUGCUCUUCUUGGAAGAGUUGCGAACGGGUGAGUAACGCGUAGGUAACCUGCCUUGUAGCGGGGGAUAACUAUUGGAAACGAUAGCUAAUACCGCAUAACAAUGGGUGACCCAUGUCAUUCAUUUGAAAGGGGCAACUGCUCCACUACAAGAUGGACCUGCGUUGUAUUAGCUAGUAGGUGAGGUAACGGCUCACCUAGGCGACGAUACAUAGCCGACCUGAGAGGGUGAUCGGCCACACUGGGACUGAGACACGGCCCAGACUCCUACGGGAGGCAGCAGUAGGGAAUCUUCGGCAAUGGGGGCAACCCUGACCGAGCAACGCCGCGUGAGUGAAGAAGGUUUUCGGAUCGUAAAGCUCUGUUGUAAGUCAAGAACGAGUGUGAGAGUGGAAAGUUCACACUGUGACGGUAGCUUACCAGAAAGGGACGGCUAACUACGUGCCAGCAGCCGCGGUAAUACGUAGGUCCCGAGCGUUGUCCGGAUUUAUUGGGCGUAAAGCGAGCGCAGGCGGUUUGAUAAGUCUGAAGUUAAAGGCUGUGGCUCAACCAUAGUUCGCUUUGGAAACUGUCAAACUUGAGUGCAGAAGGGGAGAGUGGAAUUCCAUGUGUAGCGGUGAAAUGCGUAGAUAUAUGGAGGAACACCGGUGGCGAAAGCGGCUCUCUGGUCUGUAACUGACGCUGAGGCUCGAAAGCGUGGGGAGCGAACAGGAUUAGAUACCCUGGUAGUCCACGCCGUAAACGAUGAGUGCUAGGUGUUGGGUCCUUUCCUGGGAUUCAGUGCCGCAGCUAACGCAUUAAGCACUCCGCCUGGGGAGUACGA